GACGAACGCUGGCGGCGUGCUUAACACAUGCAAGUCGAACGAAGAGCGAUGGAAGCUUGCUUCUAUCAAUCUUAGUGGCGAACGGGUGAGUAACGCGUAAUCAACCUGCCCUUCAGAGGGGGACAACAGUUGGAAACGACUGCUAAUACCGCAUACGAUCUAAUCUCGGCAUCGAGGAUAGAUGAAAGGUGGCCUCUACAUGUAAGCUAUCACUGAAGGAGGGGAUUGCGUCUGAUUAGCCAGUUGGAGGGGUAACGGCCCACCAAGGCGAUGAUCAGUAGCCGGUCUGAGAGGAUGAACGGCCACAUUGGGACUGAGACACGGCCCAGACUCCUACGGGAGGCAGCAGUGGGGAAUCUUCCGCAAUGGACGAAAGUCUGACGGAGCAACGCCGCGUGAGUGAUGACGGCCUUCGGGUUGUAAAGCUCUGUUAAUCGGGACGAAAGGCCUUCUUGCGAAUAGGGAGAAGGAUUGACGGUACCGGAAUAGAAAGCCACGGCUAACUACGUG
RNAcentral lists this ribosomal RNA (510 nucleotides) under uncultured bacterium. RNAcentral's name for it is "partial 16S ribosomal RNA". It matches the Rfam family "Bacterial small subunit ribosomal RNA", at positions 28 to 507 of the family's 1533-position model. The record is from RNAcentral.